RNAcentral lists this small RNA (29 nucleotides) under Bombyx mori (domestic silkworm). Its description in RNAcentral is "piRNA piR-bmo-1447831". Lineage: Eukaryota; Metazoa; Arthropoda; Insecta; Lepidoptera; Bombycidae. The record is from RNAcentral.
UAACCGAAAUGCUUGACACUCAGGGAAGC